UACGGGAGGCAGCAGGGGGAAUAUUGCACAAUGGGCGCAAGCCUGAUGCAGCCAUGCCGCGUGUAUGAAAAAGGCCUUCGGGUUGUAAAGUACUUUCAGUCGUGAGGAAGGUGUUAAGGUUAAUAACCUUAGCAAUUGACGUUAGCGACAGAAGAAGCACCGGCUAACUCCGUGCCAGCAGCCGCGGUAAUACGGAGGGUGCGAGCGUUAAUCGGAAUUACUGGGCGUAAAGGGCACGCAGGCGGUUAAUUAAGUUGGAUGUGAAUCCCCGGGCUUAACCUGGGAAUGGCAUUCAAGACUGGUUAGCUAGAGUCUUGUAGAGGGGGUAGAAUUCCAUGUGUAGCGGUGAAAUGCGUAGAGAUGUGGAGGAAUACCGGUGGCGAAGGCGGCCCCUGGACAAAGACUGACGCUCAUGUGCGAAAGCGUGGGGAGCAAACAGGGAUUAGAUACC
Molecule: ribosomal RNA, 451 nt
Filed under: uncultured bacterium
Lineage: Bacteria
Description: bacterial SSU rRNA
Rfam family: Bacterial small subunit ribosomal RNA
Source: RNAcentral